GUAGCGCGCUAACAUUCCAUAAACCCGAUUUUGUUCUGUGGGUGACCAUGAUAACGCUAUACAAACUCCGAUUUUUGUUAGCACCUCACGGAUUUAAACAUGCAAACAAAUGUAUAUCAAACGGACAACUUCUUAACUUCGUCUUACUUCCGUGUUUCGCUUCAGGAAGAGCUGUCAGCUCUUACAGGAAAGACAUUAACGGUGUUUUUCACUGUAAAGCAGUUAAAGGACACUUGUCUCUGAACUCGUUCAGCACUGGCACAGUCAACAGACUCUGCUGGAAAUGCGGAUCUUCUGCUGAAUUAUUUUUCUGUUCAUCCUGUAACGUGAUCCAACCUCCUGAUGACAAGACGAAUUAUUUUGACAUCUUGAACUGUGAACAAAAAUUUUCUUUGGACACCCAGAAACUUCAGAAAAGAUAUGUGGAGCUGCAAAGAUCUCUCCAUCCUGACAACUUCAGCCAGAAAUCAUCGAAAGAGCAGGAAUAUUCAGAAGAACAAUCAGCUCUGGUGAACAGUGCCUACAGAACGCUGCAGAAACCUCUGAGUCGGGCCGUCUACAUGCUGGAGCUGCGAGGGGUUUUGCUGGAGGAAGGAACGGAUGCCGCCGCGGACCCCGCGUUUCUCCUAGAGGUCCUGGAGAUCAAUGAGAGCCUCGCAGAGACGCGGAGCCAAGAUGAGGUCAGCGCUAUCGGGCGGUCUGUGCGAGAGAAACUGAAAGACUUGACUGAACGGAUGAAUUCAUCUCUGAACAAAGGGGAUCUGCUGACCGCCAAAGAGCUCCUGGCCCAAAUGAAGUACUUCACAAAUAUAGAGGAGAAGUUUCGGUAGGGAUGACCAGACGUACGUUUUCUGGCUUUUGGUGUCCUGUCCCUGACUGGAGCUGUCACCGUUUUCCAGUACACUUAAAACACCACAACUAGGCUGCUGGUUACCAGAGCAAUCGUUCCGGAAUAAGCUGCCUGAAUGGAUACUUAAUCUGCGCACCCCAACCGGCCUCCCGUAUCACACAGCAAGCGUCCUGUAGCGAUGUUCUGGGGAGUGGAAGUGGAUAUUAUUAAUCAGGAGGAUCAGAUGGAAAUCAGUUUUUAUAGCCAAGC
Molecule: RNA transcript, 1099 nt
Organism: Sinocyclocheilus anshuiensis
Lineage: Eukaryota; Metazoa; Chordata; Actinopteri; Cypriniformes; Cyprinidae
Gene name: iron-sulfur cluster co-chaperone protein HscB, mitochondrial-like
Exons: 9
Source: RefSeq, a predicted model, not a curated record